UAUGCACGCUGGCGGCGUGCCUAAUACAUGCAAGUCGAGCGAACAGACGAGUGGCUGGCUCCGGUGACGUUAGGGGCGGGCGGGUGAGUAACACGUGGAUAACCUACCUAUAAGACUGGAAUAACUCCGGGAAACCGUAACUACUACCUAAGAACAUAGUAAAACGCAUGGGUCAAUAGUGAAAUAGGGCUUUGCGGUCACCUAUAGGUGGAUCGGCGACUCAUUAGCUAGUUGGUAGGGUAACGGCUUACCAAGGCAACGAUCCGUAGCCGAGCUGAGAGGGUGAUCGGCCACACUGGAACUGAGACACGGUCCAGACUCCUACGGGAGGCAGCAGUGGGGAAUCUUGGACAAUGGGCGAAAGCCUGACGCAGCAACGCCGCGUGAGUGAUGAAGGUCUUCGGGUCGUAAAACUCUGUUAUUCGGAAAGAACAAAUGUGUCCGUAAAUAUGCACGUCUUGACGGUACCUAAACAGAAAGCACCGGCUAACUACGUG
Molecule: ribosomal RNA, 497 nt
Filed under: uncultured bacterium
Lineage: Bacteria
Description: partial 16S ribosomal RNA
Rfam family: Bacterial small subunit ribosomal RNA
Source: RNAcentral